This 429-nucleotide ribosomal RNA is filed under the name Bacteroidota bacterium. Its description in RNAcentral is "Bacteroidetes bacterium partial 16S ribosomal RNA". It matches the Rfam family "Bacterial small subunit ribosomal RNA", at positions 355 to 776 of the family's 1533-position model. The record is from RNAcentral. Lineage: Bacteria; Pseudomonadati; Bacteroidota.
UAGGGAAUCUUCCGCAAUGGACGCAAGUCUGACGGAGCAACGCCGCGUGAGUGAAGAAGGAUUUCGGUUCGUAAAACUCUGUUGUUAGAGAAGAACAGCGCAUAGAGUAACUGUUAUGCGUGUGACGGUAUCUAACCAGAAAGCCACGGCUAACUACGUGCCAGCAGCCGCGGUAAUACGUAGGUGGCAAGCGUUGUCCGGAUUUAUUGGGCGUAAAGCGAGCGCAGGCGGUCAAUUAAGUCUGAUGUGAAAGCCCCCGGCUCAACCGGGGAGGGUCAUUGGAAACUGGUUGACUUGAGUGCAGAAGAGGAGAGUGGAAUUCCAUGUGUAGCGGUGAAAUGCGUAGAUAUAUGGGGGAACACCGGUGGCGAAGGCGGCUCUCUGGUCUGUAACUGACGCUGAGGCUCGAAAGCGUGGGGAGCGAACAGG